AGCGGCGGACGGGUGAGUAACGCGUAGGAAUCUACCCAGUAGCGGGGGAUAGCCCGGGGAAACUCGGAUUAAUACCGCAUACGCCCUAUGGGGGAAAGAUGGCCUCUUCUUGAAAGCUAUCGCUAUUGGAGGAGCCUGCGUUGGAUUAGCUUGUUGGUGAGGUAAAGGCUCACCAAGGCGACGAUCUUUAGCUGGUCUGAGAGGACGAUCAGCCACAUUGGGACUGAGACACGGCCCAGACUCCUACGGGAGGCAGCAAUGGGGAAUAUUGGACAAUGGGCGCAAGCCUGAUCCAGCCAUAACCGCGUGUGUGAAGAAGGGCUUCGGGUUGUAAAAGCACUUUAAGCCAGGGAGCACAAAAGUUAUAAGUUAAUACCUUAUAGCCGUGAUGUUACCUGCAGAAUAAGCACCGGCUUAAUUCCGUGGCAGCAGCCGCGGUAAUUCGGAAGGUUGCAGCGUUAUCGGAAUUACUUGGGCGUAAAGCGCGCGUAGGUGGUUUGAUAAGUUGGAUGUGAAAGCCCUGGGCUCAACCUAGGAACUGCAUCCCAAACUAACUCUCUAGAGUACGAUAGAGGGAAGGAGAAUUCCUAGUGUAGCGGGGGAAUGCGUAGAAUUUAUGGAGAAUACCGUUGGGAAAGCGGCU
This 643-nucleotide ribosomal RNA is filed under the name uncultured Gammaproteobacteria bacterium. RNAcentral describes it as "bacterial SSU rRNA". It matches the Rfam family "Bacterial small subunit ribosomal RNA", at positions 94 to 725 of the family's 1533-position model. Lineage: Bacteria; Pseudomonadati; Pseudomonadota; Gammaproteobacteria. The record is from RNAcentral.